UUAAAGAUAAGUUAAAUAAACUAUUGGACUCAUACUCCAUGCAUAGAUACAAAAUCUUCUUUAAA
This 65-nucleotide transfer RNA is filed under the name Aeolothrips xinjiangensis. RNAcentral describes it as "tRNA-Met". Lineage: Eukaryota; Metazoa; Arthropoda; Insecta; Thysanoptera; Aeolothripidae. The record is from RNAcentral.